This 67-nucleotide transfer RNA is filed under the name Spathosternum prasiniferum prasiniferum. RNAcentral describes it as "tRNA-Tyr". It matches the Rfam family "tRNA". From Rfam's summary of the family: Transfer RNA (tRNA) molecules are approximately 80 nucleotides in length. Their secondary structure includes four short double-helical elements and three loops (D, anti-codon, and T loops). Further hydrogen bonds mediate the characteristic L-shaped molecular structure. tRNAs have two regions of fundamental functional importance: the anti-codon, which is responsible for specific mRNA codon recognition, and the 3' end, to which the tRNAs corresponding amino acid is attached (by aminoacyl-tRNA synthetases). tRNAs cope with the degeneracy of the genetic code in two manners: having more than one tRNA (with a specific anti-codon) for a particular amino acid; and 'wobble' base-pairing, i.e. permitting non-standard base-pairing at the 3rd anti-codon position. RNAcentral also lists the same sequence under 1 other name. Lineage: Eukaryota; Metazoa; Arthropoda; Insecta; Orthoptera; Acrididae. The record is from RNAcentral.
GGUAAGAUGGCUGAAAUUAAAGGCGGUAGACUGUAAAUCUAUUUAUGAGAAUUUAUCUCUCUUAUCA